This 292-nucleotide ribosomal RNA is filed under the name uncultured bacterium. RNAcentral's name for it is "partial 16S ribosomal RNA". It matches the Rfam family "Bacterial small subunit ribosomal RNA", at positions 505 to 796 of the family's 1533-position model. The record is from RNAcentral.
GUGCCAGCCGCCGCGGUAAUACGGGGGGUGCAAGCGUUAUUCGGAAUUACUGGGCGUAAAGAGCGCGUAGGCGGUUUCUUAAGUCAGGUGUGAAAGCCCGGGGCUCAACCCCGGAAGUGCACUUGAAACUAAGAGACUUGAGUAUGGGAGAGGGAAGUGGAAUUCCUGGUGUAGCGGUGAAAUGCGUAGAUAUCAGGAGGAACAUCGGUGGCGAAGGCGACUUCCUGGACCAAUACUGACGCUGAGGCGCGAAGGCGUGGGGAGCAAACAGGAUUAGAUACCCGGGUAGUCC